GCUGUGGUUACUAGACCAUGGCACUAAGUGCCACAUCCAGUCUCCUUUUAAAAAUCUCCAGGGAUGGAGAAUCCACUACUUCCCUGGGCAGCCCAUUCCAAUGUCUGAUCACCCUCUCUGUAAAGAAAUUCUUUCUAAUAUCUAACCUAAACCUCCCCUGGCACAACUUGAGACCAUGCCCUCUUGCCUUGACCACAUAUUAAGGCUUUUAAGGCAGAGAUAUAAAAGUGAAAAGGCAAGGAACACAGUUUACCUCAGCUUUGUCCAACCAGGCCACACUAGUAUCACAAUGGUAAGUGAUGCUGAAGGAUAUAAAUGUUAUUAUGAGGCACUGCACCAUAGUAAGAUUCCCCAUACCCCUCUCUGCACUGCCCAGAUGCUGGCCUGGUGCCAAACAAGCACCAAACAGCCAUGCUAUGCCUCAGCAUCUCUCCUCCCACAGAAACAGGAGCAACACAGGCUCUGCUACUGCAGCCUCCCUAUCCUCCCUCUAGGUCCCAACCAUCCUUCACAGCAGCAGAACAAGACUUCCACCUGUAUGCGGUCAGCACCUACUGGAGGAAAGGGACACCAUGAAUGAAAAUUGACAGCAAAAGGGGCUGGCAGGAGGAUGGACCCCAACUGCCAUUUUAAACAACAGCCUUCAAUAUAGAGUGAAAUCCUCAACAGGCAACUGCUGUGUGUCCUCCCACUUAUCCCAAUCAUUUGGGACAUGGGAAGGGGACACACACCACACCUCUUUGUUAGUGCUUACAGACAUUUCUCCAAAAGUGUUAAUAUCAUGAGAGCUGGCAGUAUUACUGGUAUUAUGGAAGAUCAAAAUGAUAAUCAGUUGUCACCAGUUCAGAAGCACUCCAACGUGGUGAUCUUAACAGACCCCUAUGAAGCCAUGAUUCUCUUCCCAAGCUGAUUAUGCCACAUAGCCCUGCUCAGUGAAGAGCAGUACUGAGACGCAGUCUCCCAGAGUAAGACAGGCAACUACAAAGGCAUCCAAGCAUCAGUAUCACAAGCACCUCACAUUUAAACUUCAGUGCACUGAUGCAGAUCUUCAAUGCAGGUUGGUUCCACAGAUCUCAUCUUCCUGCAGAAACCAAGACCCACUCUUAAGCCCACACAGUGCAAGAAGAAGGCUAAAAGGAGCUGCUGGCUCCACCUCUAGAAGGAAUUGCUGGAGGAAUGGCACCAAAUUCCCACAUGCCUUCCUGACAUGGGAAGCUGCCUCCACAGCUGCAAAUCCAAACGGGCUCUGAGAGCCUCCAUUGCUCAGCAGCUGUACUGGCUAUUUUCUGCUGAACCAGGGCCUCAGUACUUUCAGCCAGAGAAGAGCUGCCUUGAAUUCACACACACCCAAGGGCCUGUAUAUAAACUGAACGUUGUGAACCACUAGUGGCAUUUUUCUCUGCUAUGUAUAACUAGGAAAAAUGGGAUUUUAAUGGAUUUAUUCUCAACCUACUUUAAACUCACAAAGAUAUGAGGCCUUAUGUCAUCAUUAUAGUUACUACAUGUGAUCCUGUGUGUGUUAUGAAGAAGCAAGCUAGAAAUGAGUACUGGAUGAACUCAAAAGCUUGCAACUCCUCUGCCAAAGCAAAGUCUGUCACAAGUUGCUAAAUACAUAACCACGCAAGUUAAAGAGACCCACACACCAAUAAGUCAGUAUUUCAGGGCGAUGAGACUACUGUGUACCAGCUAUGAACCAAAAGGUCUUUGCUCUGCUAUGGACUUCAUGCAUGGAUUUGGACAGCUUAGAGCCUCUCUUCGGUGUCAAUUGACGUGGCUCAACUAUAUCAGCACAAUGGAUACCUUACCAGGAAUCACAUCCUUCUUUCAAAUAGAUUAACAAUCUGUUCUGUGUAAUAUGCGUACAUUUUUCAGCAAUACAAAUAUAAAAAGUGUUAAAAUAAUUACCUACCUGUAACAAAUAUUUUAAGUAUCUUUAUUAAAGACAUUCAAUCUA
Molecule: long non-coding RNA, 1954 nt
Organism: Pseudopipra pipra
Lineage: Eukaryota; Metazoa; Chordata; Aves; Passeriformes; Pipridae
Exons: 2
Source: RefSeq, a predicted model, not a curated record